GAAGGCUGAAAUCCGCCUUCAUGAAGCCGGAAUUGCUAGUAAUGGCAGGUCAGAAUACUGCCGUGAAUACGUUCCCGGGCCUUGUACACACCGCCCGUCACACCAUGAGAGUUGGGAAUACCCGAAGCCUGUGAGCUAACCGAAAGGGAGCAGCAGUCGAAGGUAGAAUCAAUGAUUGGGGUGAAGUCGUAACAAGGUACC
RNAcentral lists this ribosomal RNA (201 nucleotides) under uncultured bacterium. RNAcentral's name for it is "partial 16S ribosomal RNA". It matches the Rfam family "Bacterial small subunit ribosomal RNA", at positions 1300 to 1500 of the family's 1533-position model. The record is from RNAcentral.